Molecule: transfer RNA, 55 nt
Filed under: Strongyloides cebus
Lineage: Eukaryota; Metazoa; Nematoda; Chromadorea; Rhabditida; Strongyloididae
Description: tRNA-Ser
Source: RNAcentral
GGGUUAUUAAAAAUUCCUGACUUGAAAUCGGGAUUCGGAUUUUUUCCAUAACUCU